UACUAGAGUAGCACUCGCAUAUCAAUAAGCGGAGGAAAAGAAACUAACAAGGAUUCCCCUAGUAACGGCGAGUGAAGCGGGAAGAGCUCAAAUUUGAAAUCUUAAAGGGUUUCCCUUUACGAAUUGUAGUUUAAAGAAGUGUUUUCUGUUGAGGUUUUGGUAAAAGUUCUUUGGAAUAGGACAUCAUAGAGGGUGAGAAUCCCGUAUUUGACCUUUACUUUCAACUUUGUGAUACACUUUCAAAGAGUCGGAUUGUUUGGGAAUGCAGUCCAAAAUGGGUGGUAAAUUUCAUCUAAAGCUAAAUAUUGGCGAGAGACCGAUAGCGAACAAGUACCGUGAGGGAAAGAUGAAAAGAACUUUGAAAAGAGAGUUAAACAGUACGUGAAAUUGUCAAAAGGGAAGCGUUUGACACCAGUGUUGUUUUUCUGAAAAUCAAUUAAAGGAACUGUUUAUGCUAAGCUGUUUAGACUUUAUCAGCUAUCUGUUUAGUUUUGAGCUUUUCUUUAAUGCACUUUUCAGUUAACAAGUCAACAUCAAUUUCUUUUGCUGUAAAAAAGCUUGAGGAAGGUGGCUUGAGAUUCGUCUUAAGUGUUUAUAGCCUCUUGCCUAUGCAGUCGGAGAGAUUGAGGUCUGCAGCGUAGAUCCUUCGGGGCUAAAUGCAUUUGUGCUAAGUUAUAGCAUUUUAUAGACAACUUGUUGACUAUGAUUUGUCUUGUAGCUUACUCGCUUAUGUUAUUUUACCUACGCUUAGGAUGUUGAGCGCAUGUCUCUCUCU
Molecule: ribosomal RNA, 775 nt
Filed under: uncultured Neocallimastigales
Lineage: Eukaryota; Fungi; Neocallimastigomycota; Neocallimastigomycetes; Neocallimastigales
Description: partial large subunit ribosomal RNA
Rfam family: Eukaryotic large subunit ribosomal RNA
Source: RNAcentral